Molecule: transfer RNA, 74 nt
Filed under: Nelumbo nucifera (sacred lotus)
Lineage: Eukaryota; Viridiplantae; Streptophyta; Magnoliopsida; Proteales; Nelumbonaceae
Rfam family: tRNA
About the family: Transfer RNA (tRNA) molecules are approximately 80 nucleotides in length. Their secondary structure includes four short double-helical elements and three loops (D, anti-codon, and T loops). Further hydrogen bonds mediate the characteristic L-shaped molecular structure. tRNAs have two regions of fundamental functional importance: the anti-codon, which is responsible for specific mRNA codon recognition, and the 3' end, to which the tRNAs corresponding amino acid is attached (by aminoacyl-tRNA synthetases). tRNAs cope with the degeneracy of the genetic code in two manners: having more than one tRNA (with a specific anti-codon) for a particular amino acid; and 'wobble' base-pairing, i.e. permitting non-standard base-pairing at the 3rd anti-codon position.
Source: Rfam by way of RNAcentral
UCCGUUGUCAUCUAGUCUGGUCAGGAUAUCUGGGUCUGGCCCAGAUGACCGGGGUUCAAAUCCCGGCAACGGAU